RNAcentral lists this long non-coding RNA (4680 nucleotides) under Brassica rapa (field mustard). RNAcentral describes it as "long non-coding RNA (BRAP_LNC004274)". Lineage: Eukaryota; Viridiplantae; Streptophyta; Magnoliopsida; Brassicales; Brassicaceae. The record is from RNAcentral.
GAAAGUAGGUGGGGUAAGUAGUCCACGCUAGGUAUCCAUAGGAGAUGUGGCGAAUCCACAUGAAUAUGGAAGCACCCAUAGGAGAUGUGGCCAAUCCACAUGAAUAUGGGGUAGAAGCCUAGUGGGGGGCUACCCACUGAGGAAAAGAGGAAAAGAUGAAAAGAUGAAAAGAUGAAAAGGAUAUGCAUUGUAGGGUUCUAGCUCAUGGUCGGGUACAGGAAGUUAAAGAAGUCAUAGGAUCGAGUCGGACUAGUAAGAUGAGUCGGUUAAGUCUAGGGAUGGCGUGUGUGGCAAUGAGUGAGAUCAUUGUAUUGAUUGAUUACUAGGUUGUUAGAAAUGAAUGGAAGUGUGUGUAGAUAUUACAGAUGGUGAUAGGAAAUGAUAAAAUGCAUUAAGUGAUUGUAGUGGCUAGUCAGUCCUAGUUCCCGCAUAGAGUAGUAUAGAGUGUCGUGCGGGCAGGCUGGUCUAGAGCCACUUCACUGAGUAACUUGUUGCUCACCCCCUCCAUUUCCAUUUUUUCCCUGUGCGCAGGACUGUAAGUAGAAGUAUAUGGAUGUGGGUGUGACGGUAUUUCAAAGAAGGUUAUGCGCUCGUCUCUCGGGACCAGUAACGGGACACGUAGGGUUGUCUAAAUGAGUAGACACGUGUCCAUAACGCCCCUUCGAUAACCCCGGUCGGACGCCGGGGGAUCGGGCUGUUACAAUUGGUAUCAGAGCGGGAUAAGAUCCCUUAGUUCUGUCCUAAGGGAUCAGCAUUUCCGACGUUUAAAAAAAAAACUUGUUUUCAUUAAAAAGAAAAGAGUUUGUGAAAGUUUUGAUUCUCCUAAAAGAUCUGAAAACGAUUUCAAAACCACCCACUAUAUUUAUACUUCUAGUAUGGUUCUGAUCGGAUGUCUACUUGAAAGAUGUCUUCGACAAUCAGUAACGACCAGAGAGACAUGUAUGUAAGAGAAUACAAUAAGGAUGUAAUCCCCCGAGGAGAUUUGUUGGGCACCCUCUAAGGGAGAAAGAACUGAUUCACCGCUUCCUGAAGGAAAUGAAAACGAUUUGAAGAAUAGUUGUGACGUGCAAGAUUACUGGGAUCAUGAGCUAAUCAAGAUUACGUGCAGAGUUAUAGUUUUGGUUGUAAGAAGAUCAUAGGCUAACCAAGCAUCACAUACUCAGAGCCAAGGGGAACUUGCGACAUCGCCAUUACCACAAGGCGGUUUCGUUGUGACAAGAACGGAAGUGCGAGAAGAACCACACUAGGAUAUAAUGGAUGGGAGCAUACUACUAGUACAACCAGUAGGACUAUGAUAGGAGGUUCGUUCAUCAAGGAAAACAUGGUCAGACCGAAGGACUCAAGGAUGAGGAUAUGUUCGGUGCGGAGUAGCUAAACACCAAGUCAGGACCUGCUGGGGUUGGAGUUUGGAAUGAUAUGAAGUGACAGAAUUUUGGGAUGCGUAUUUAGAGGUGUACCAGUGUUCGGGGAUGUUGCAGUAUGUUAGGGAUAGCAUCGGGGCUUAGCGAGAAUCUAUACGGAGGUCAAAGAUUAAUGAAUAGGAAGAGAGCUAGGAAAGCAGACCGUGACCAAGCACAUGGAGUUAAUGUAUUGUAUUGGCAUGUACUCAUAAUCCUCGAUAGGAGAGGAGAGUAGUCCGUAAUGGAAUAAAGAUUAGGAUAUGGAUAUAAGCUAUCUUGAUGUUGUAAGCUUAAGAGUUAAGUGUAAAGGAGAAUGAUUUGUAUUUGGAAGUGAAAACUCUAAGUAUUGGAUACCAUUGCUGCAGUCGCCGGGUAUGCAAACGCUUUUGAGCAUUUUUUUUAAGGACCCAUGGAACUGAAAUAGUGCAUACACCAUAGAGCGGAAAUACAGAACAUUGUCUAGUCAAAGGAACCAUAUUGGUUAGCACCAUAUAGUUCGUUGAGUUGUUGGAACCUACAGCAAGUAGCUUUGGAGUUCACUAAGAGCGAUUUGACAUUACGGUAUUGCCAGAUUCUGAUAUCAAAGAAAAACAUCCAGGAGACAACAUUAUGAGUUGGUAAUGGACAUUACCAAUUGUAGAAGUGUGUCUUUAGAUCAACUGAUGCGCAACAUGUUCAUGUGAAGUGGAUGUACGAUGCCGCAAGCGUAUUAAGAUAAGCACGCGAUAGUGAUGAUCGAAGACACAAUAUUCUAUUCCACCGAAGAGUGUGACGGUAUUUGGGAGUAGCUUGUUAAGUUUCAUGAGAUGAAGUGCUCGCUAAGUUAAUCAACGGAGAUGUGGUUGGGUACCACGCAACGGUGAAGGAAGAGACCAUGGGACAAGUUAUUGGUCGCAAUGGGCAUUAUAGUGGGCAGCAGACAUAUUUAUCAGAAUUCGAAGAGGAACUGCCAUGGGUAAAGAUAAAGAGGGUUUUAAUGGAGCUUUGCAGUCGAGAUUUGUUAGUUGAGAACAGUGGGGUGUAAGGCCGUAUAUGAUUGAUGCAAGAGUUGUAUGUGUCAAAUGGAAAUGGAACAUGAUAACAAUAUAUUUUUGUUGUUGGGUCGCCAAGGAUAUCGCAAUCAACCUAUGUGGUGUACAUGUGUGUUGAGCUUAGAGAGGAAGUAGGUUAAUGGAGCUGAUAUUAGUUGAAUCCAUGCAAGACAUUAGCUACGAGUCGAGCAAAUGGAUAUCCCCUAUGAGAAUUGUAUGAACAACCAUGUUGAAUCCCUUAUGUUGGACCAAAGUGGGGGAGAUCAGAAUCUCGAGCCUGAGAUGAUCUAGGAAACCGCUUAGCAGAUAUAAUUGUUGAUGAUGAGCUGCUUUAUGAAAGGAUAGAAGAGGUACAUGACCAUUAGAGAAUUACGUCGACAAGAGUGGUGGUGAUAUGGAAAUGCAUAUGAGAUGAAAGCAAUCUAGGGAUGAGAACGCGGUUGGAGAAUCGAUGGGGAUUUAAGAAGACGUUGGAUCUCUGUGAGGAAUAUGGAACCUGGCCUGUUGCAUGAACCAUUAGAUUUCAAAGGACGAGUUGUUACCCAUUUGGGUUUGGGAUGUUAAGUUGGAUUACCGACACACAGAAUUCGGGGACGAAUUCCAUUCAAGUGGGGGAGAAUUGUAACGGCCCGGUUCAUGGCCCACAAAUUAUCAUAAAAGAUUGGGCUUCUCUACGGCCCAUUUGACAAAAACCUAGGGUUCCCUUCACCCUUUCCUAUAAAAAGAGAUGCAGCCCCUUCUUUUCUCUCAUUUCUGAAACUUGAGCGAAGCUCUGCAGAGAUUUAGAGAGACUAGGAAACCCUAGCCGUCAAGCUUCUCUUUUCCUUUUCUCUCUUCUUCUCUCAUGCCUCUCUUUCUCUUUCUCUCUCCGUGAUCUCUCUUCUCUCUCCUUGCCGCGAGCCCCCCAAGAGCAAGCCGAGCCGCCAGUGGUGGUGGUGGUGGACGUCCAAGGGGUGGUGGGGUGAUCGUCCGAGUGUGGUGAUGGUGGUGGCUGUGUGGUGUUGUGGUGGUGACCAGAUCUCGUCUCUCUCUUGUUUACUUGUUCCAGAUCUGUUCAGAUCUCCUCCCUCUUGUCUCUUGUUCCCAGAUCCGGAUCCAGAUCUAGGCUAAGGUGGAGUGUUUCGAACCCAACCUUCUUUCAUGGUCCUGUAUACUCCUAUAUGUUGGGGUUAGGUUUGAUUAGACCCUGUUUGGGAGUUAGGUUGAUAGUACAUGGUAUUGCUAGGAUGAUAGAUGAAUGGAUCAUGAUGCAUAAGAACCCUCAUAUUGAUAAAUGGGACUUGAUGAACUGAAUUGAAUUGUUGUGGUAAUGGCUGAUUGGUAGUUGAUUCUUUUAUGUUUGGUUGUGUUGUCCCAUGUGUGGUUGUGAUUGAAGUUAGGAUGCUAGAGAGAAAUAAAUGCUAGGAUGAUAGAUGAGCAAUGAUUAUAAAAGUUAUUGAAGUAGAACUUGAAUGCAAUGUGUAUUGUGUGACACCGAUAACGGGUGGCGUCUAGUGAUUGAGUCCAAGUACAAGUAGGAAUGAAAAGGGAAGUAAUUGGGAAUGGGAAGGGUUAGGUGAAAACGAUAAGGAAGUGGAAGGAUAAGUAAAAGUAUGAAAGAAUGUUGUUAAGGUUAAGCAUGGGUGGGAAAGCAUAUAGAGAGUCUAAGGAAAGUAGGUGGGGUAAGUAGUCCACGCUAGGUAUCCAUAGGAGAUGUGGCGAAUCCACAUGAAUAUGGAAGCACCCAUAGGAGAUGUGGCCAAUCCACAUGAAUAUGGGGUAGAAGCCUAGUGGGGGGCUACCCACUGAGGAAAAGAGGAAAAGAUGAAAAGAUGAAAAGGAUAUGCAUUGUAGGGUUCUAGCUCAUGGUCGGGUACAGGAAGUUAAAGAAGUCAUAGGAUCGAGUCGGACUAGUAAGAUGAGUCGGUUAAGUCUAGGGAUGGCGUGUGUGGCAAUGAGUGAGAUCAUUGUAUUGAUUGAUUACUAGGUUGUUAGAAAUGAAUGGAAGUGUGUGUAGAAAUUACAGAUGGUGAUAGGAAAUGAUAAAAUGCAUUAAGUGAUUGUAGUGGCUAGUCAGUCCUAGUUCCCGCAUAGAGUAGUCUAGAGUGUCGUGCGGGCAGGCUGGUCUAGAGCCACUUCACUGAGUAACUUGUUGCUCACCCCCUCCAUUUCCAUUUUUUCCCUGUGCGCAGGACUGUAAGUAGAAGUAUAUGGAUGUGGGUGUGACGGUAUUUCAAAGAAGGUUAUGCGCUCGUCUCUCGGGACCAGUA